UUGACAUCCUUCGAACACAAAAACGCUGCACUGCUUUCUUCUAUCGAAACCUCCCUGAUGAAGUGAAAAGCUAAUUUUCAAUCUGUCAUGUUUGCUUUCUUCUCCUCGCCAGGUUCCAACCCGGAAAACAAAACUGCUUCAACGGAAAGAAAGAGAGAAAAAAGUACUCUGAUUUAAAGUACAGACAACAAAAAAUCCCAACGACGAGACGAGAUCUGAUGAAAGAAAAACUAAUUUUCGAACCGAACCUCGCCGCAACCCAUCAGAAUCAUCCUAGAGAGUCGGGAGGCCGAGUUCCGAGGUGCUCACCCUCCCCGUGGGGAAUGGUUAGGUCAGACCUGAAGUGGCGGUCUUGACAUGGCAGAAACUACGAAAAAUUGAAGAGGCAAAAAAAAACGAACCGAUCUCGAUAGUCCAUCAAAAGGUCACGUCCCAACUCCACGUUGCAGUUGCAUAACUUGGAAAAAGGAAAUUAACACUGGUCAGGAUUUUCAACCUGCAAGGGACGGGUCGGCGCGCGGGGUCGGUUGGCCACUUCCGGAAGGGCUCAGCUCUGUGACGGGUGGUACGUGUUGCACAAAUUAACUAGACGAGCGACCACAGCCAAGUUGCGCAGAGGCCACAACAGAGCGGCACGGAGAGAAAGAAAAAGUCAAAAACACGGUGAAAAAAGUGGCUUUUCCAUGACCGGAAGAGGGGAGCCGCCCAGGCGAUGUCAACUCUGGCGAUGGCGAGGCACCCGUGGUUAUGUGGUCAUCGUCGUCACGGCCAAAGGUCGGACCGGAUUCCAGCGGAGCUUAACAAGAAACAUUCCCAGCCCAAAGACUAACGCGCAAAUCAACGAGGAAAAGCUUGAAGAAAGACAAACACAAACCAACCGAAAUCAAUCAAAUCGAAAACAAACAAACUAGUAGCAGACCUUCAACUUCUGGGCCCGAGGUGGAAGGUCCAUCUUGGAUUUGUUAUUUGUUUUCGAAGGAAUCGAAACAGCAUUAGGCAGCAUUCAGCAAAGUAAAGAAAAAGUGAGGGAAAAAAAUAAGCAAAAUUUGAACUUGUAAUUCCUCGUUAGGCGAAAUCAAACAAAAUCAAUUUAUUACCUGUGUACAGUGAUGAAGGAGAAAAAGUUUAGUAAAAACAAAUGAAUCGCUUAUAGUUGAUAUACUCUUAGCUUGACUGAUUAUGAAAAAAGAAAACUAGCAUUUAAGUGCGUUACACCUUAAGAUCGAGUUCAAUUCCCAGCCACACGUGGAUAAAAAGGUUUUAAAAUUGUUGUCAACUUGAGAUAAGGAAAAAAAGAAGCAUUUUCUAUUACCAAAAAAAAACAAAGAAAACUAUCAAACUGUUGCGUGUUAAAUGUUUACAGCAAAAA
Molecule: long non-coding RNA, 1369 nt
Organism: Culex pipiens pallens (northern house mosquito)
Lineage: Eukaryota; Metazoa; Arthropoda; Insecta; Diptera; Culicidae
Exons: 2
Source: RefSeq, a predicted model, not a curated record